Molecule: ribosomal RNA, 302 nt
Filed under: uncultured bacterium
Lineage: Bacteria
Description: bacterial SSU rRNA
Rfam family: Bacterial small subunit ribosomal RNA
Source: RNAcentral
AGAAAAUAGAUACGGGUAGUCCGCACUGUAAACGAUGAUUACUCGCUGCUAGAGGGCAAACCUUUAGUGGCUUAGCGAAAAGCGAUAAGUAAUCCACCUGGGGAGUACGCCGGCAACGGUGAAACUCAAAGGAAUUGACGGGGGCCCGCACAAGCGGAGGAGCAUGUGGUUUAAUUCGAUGAUACGCGAGGAACCUUACCAGGGCUUGAAAGUUAGUGACCGACUCUGAAAGGAGUCUUCCCGCAAGGGCACAAAACUAGGUGCUGCAUGGCUGUCGUCAGCUCGUGCCGUGAGGUGUUGGG